This 471-nucleotide ribosomal RNA is filed under the name uncultured bacterium. RNAcentral's name for it is "bacterial SSU rRNA". It matches the Rfam family "Bacterial small subunit ribosomal RNA", at positions 335 to 799 of the family's 1533-position model. The record is from RNAcentral.
ACUCCUACGGGAGGCAGCAGUGGGGAAUAUUGCACAAUGGGCGCAAGCCUGAUGCAGCCAUGCCGCGUGUGUGAAGAAGGCCUUCGGGUUGUAAAGCACUUUCAGUUGUGAGGAAGGUGGUGUCGUUAAUAGCGGCAUCAUUUGACGUUAGCAACAGAAGAAGCACCGGCUAACUCCGUGCCAGCAGCCGCGGUAAUACGGAGGGUGCGAGCGUUAAUCGGAAUUACUGGGCGUAAAGCGCAUGCAGGUGGUUUGUUAAGUCAGAUGUGAAAGCCCGGGGCUCAACCUCGGAACUGCAUUUGAAACUGGCAGACUAGAGUACUGUAGAGGGGGGUAGAAUUUCAGGUGUAGCGGUGAAAUGCGUAGAGAUCUGAAGGAUACCGGUGGCAAGGCGGCCCCCUGGACAGAUACUGACACUCAGAUGCGAAAGCGUGGGGAGCAAACAGGAUUAGAUACCCUGGUAGCACAGAG